Molecule: ribosomal RNA, 55 nt
Filed under: Diversispora versiformis
Lineage: Eukaryota; Fungi; Glomeromycota; Glomeromycetes; Diversisporales; Diversisporaceae
Description: partial 18S ribosomal RNA
Rfam family: Eukaryotic small subunit ribosomal RNA
Source: RNAcentral
GGAAGUAAAAGUCGUAACAAGGUUCCCCGUAGGUGAACCUGCGGAAGGAUCAUUA